Long non-coding RNA from Gastrolobium bilobum, 276 nucleotides. RefSeq lists it as uncharacterized. The transcript is spliced from 3 exons. The record is from RefSeq and is a predicted model, not a curated record. NCBI's taxonomy places the organism in Eukaryota, Viridiplantae, Streptophyta, Magnoliopsida, Fabales, Fabaceae.
GGAUUGAGACAUUUGGACCAACCGUGAGUGAUCAACCAUUGGAGCAAGCUAUGGAGCUUGAAUAGCUCAUUGGAAUUGGUGUAUAUUUGUAAAAGUGGAUUGCUGAAACUGUUGGUGAAGAACAAAGGUCGACUGAAGCAUUGAGGUAAGGAUGCUGCAGGAGCCUCUGGUGGCAAGUGGCCAUAUCUGGAUUAUGCAUGAAAUGUGGCAUUUCUUUUGAGAUUAUACAUGUUGUUUUGUAGCUCACAUGUAUAGAAUUGUAAUGAAUAGGCAAUG